This 164-nucleotide ribosomal RNA is filed under the name uncultured bacterium. Its description in RNAcentral is "partial 16S rRNA". It matches the Rfam family "Bacterial small subunit ribosomal RNA", at positions 355 to 511 of the family's 1533-position model. The record is from RNAcentral.
UAGGGAAUCUUCCACAAUGGACGAAAGUCUGAUGGAGCAACGCCGCGUGAGUGAAGAAGGUUUUCGGAUCGUAAAGCUCUGUUGUUGGUGAAGAAGGAUAGAGGCAGUAACUGGUCUUUAUUUGACGGUAAUCAACCAGAAAGUCACGGCUAACUACGNGCCAG